CCAAGUCCGCCCCCCAUCUCCUCAUUUCUCCGCCUCAACCAUCUCCAACUCGCCCGAAUCACCCCUAAAACCUAGCGAAUCGACUCGCUUAGUUUGUUGGUCUCCCCCCUCUCUUCUCGUUCUUUCACGUGGAAAAAUCCCAACGAAUCUCAUCAUUACCAUCCAAAACGCAUUUUGAUUUCUCUCCUGGACAGAUUUUGGAUUAAUGGCGGACGUAGGAUUUGAGUACCUUAAAUCCUAUCCUUCCAUUUAUCCCGAAAAUUGUUCAAAAAAGGAGAAAACAAGGUGGAUUUUUGAGAUUUAAGAAAAGGGGGUAAUUUUCGGAUUUCUUGGGGAGAAAGUCUAGGGUUUUN
This 353-nucleotide long non-coding RNA is filed under the name Nicotiana benthamiana. RNAcentral's name for it is "long non-coding RNA (NBEN_LNC016381)". Lineage: Eukaryota; Viridiplantae; Streptophyta; Magnoliopsida; Solanales; Solanaceae. The record is from RNAcentral.